This 325-nucleotide ribosomal RNA is filed under the name uncultured Eubacteriaceae bacterium. RNAcentral's name for it is "bacterial SSU rRNA". It matches the Rfam family "Bacterial small subunit ribosomal RNA", at positions 61 to 385 of the family's 1533-position model. Lineage: Bacteria; Bacillati; Bacillota; Clostridia; Eubacteriales; Eubacteriaceae. The record is from RNAcentral.
GUCGAGCGGGGAGAUGCCUUCGGGUGUCUUCUAGCGGCGGACGGGUGAGUAACGCGUGAGCAACCUUUCCUUCACAGGGGGAUAACGCAGCGAAAGCUGUGCUAAUACCGCAUGAGACCACAGAGCCGCUUGGUUCAGAGGUCAAAGGAGCAAUCCGGUGAAGGGUGGGCUCGCGUCUGAUUAGCUAGUUGGCGGGGUAACGGCCCACCAAGGCGACGAUCAGUAGCCGACCUGAGAGGGUGAUCGGCCACACUGGGACUGAGACACGGCCCAGACUCCUACGGGAGGCAGCAGUGGGGAAUAUUGGGCAAUGGGGGAAACCCUG